Molecule: RNA transcript, 737 nt
Organism: Nematostella vectensis (starlet sea anemone)
Lineage: Eukaryota; Metazoa; Cnidaria; Anthozoa; Actiniaria; Edwardsiidae
Gene name: N.vectensis toxin 6
Exons: 3
Source: RefSeq, a predicted model, not a curated record
CGCACCGCUCCUUCUCAAGGGUAGUUCGUAGCAUGAGCGUGAGAAUAACCAUGAUCAGGUAGUCAAGCGGACAGAAUGCAGACAUAAAAACAGCUGGUUUCCCGUGACCAGUACUCCGCCUGAAGACCAGCUUGAGGUAUCCAUUUCUACACGAAAAGGGUUUAACUUUGCAGGAUGAUUUCAUUCAAGACCGUUAUUGUCUGCUUGUUUCUGUGGGUAGUCAUCAUUGGCGCUCGCCACCGCCCUGUGAAAUUGGAUGAUGAGAUAUUCAGGGAUUACCACAUAGACAUUGACCCGAGUAAAUCGUCAUGUCGAUGUGAUGAUGACGGCGCUGAGGGAUCGGGGACUGUUUGGUAUGGAAACUGCCCAUCUGGAUGGGCGAUGUGUACUAGCUCACACUACUCUGCGUUUGCAGAAUGUUGCAAACAAUAGAGAUACAGGGGGCAAGGCAUUCUAGAUCAAUCCUGAAGGAGAGGAUCCCCUCUUCCCUGUGUCCGUCACUGAUUGUUAGAUAUUCAUGUUAGAAAAGCAUUCAUGCACGGAACAGAGCUAUACGUUGCGGUUUGUUUGAUAUUAUUUGUCUAGUUUUUUUUAAGUGCCUACCUUUUUUUAACCUUCGGUUUGGGUACAGAAAUGUCUGUUGUUAUACAGAGUUGAAUAAAGUGCAUAGAAUGUACACCGUAUACCCAAACUGCUAUGAACGAGACCCUGGAUGAAAUAAAACUACUUUGCAAUAA